AGCGAACGCUGGCGGCAGGCCUAACACAUGCAAGUCGAGCGCCCAGCAAUGGGAGCGGCAGACGGGAUAGUAACACGUGGGAACGUACCUUUCAGUUCGGAACAACCCAGGGAAACUUGGGCUAAUACCGAAUACGCCCGUAAGGGGAAAGAUUUAUCGCUGAAAGAUCGGCCCGCGUCUGAUUAGCUAGUUGGUGGGGUAAUGGCCCACCAAGGCGACGAUCAGUAGCUGGUCGAGAGGAUGAUCAGCCACACUGGGACUGAGACACGGCCCAGACUCCUACGGGAGGCAGCAGUGGGGAAUAUUGGGCAAUGGGCGCAAGCCUGACCCAGCCAUGCCGCGUGAGUGAUGAAGGCCU
Molecule: ribosomal RNA, 358 nt
Filed under: uncultured bacterium
Lineage: Bacteria
Description: bacterial SSU rRNA
Rfam family: Bacterial small subunit ribosomal RNA
Source: RNAcentral